GGGCCCGUAGCUCAGCCCGGUUAGAGCGCAUCCCUGAUAAGGAUGAGGUCGGUGGUUCGAGUCCACCCGGGCCCACAA
RNAcentral lists this transfer RNA (78 nucleotides) under Actinomycetota bacterium. RNAcentral's name for it is "Actinobacteria bacterium (soil metagenome) tRNA-Ile". It matches the Rfam family "tRNA". Rfam says of the family: Transfer RNA (tRNA) molecules are approximately 80 nucleotides in length. Their secondary structure includes four short double-helical elements and three loops (D, anti-codon, and T loops). The record is from RNAcentral. Lineage: Bacteria; Bacillati; Actinomycetota.